UGAUGAGGUAGAGGUUGCAGCUGUUAUUAGUACAGACUAGGAGAUCAGGAGAGAUCGUUGAUUAGACUGAAAAGGAACAGCUGCCGAAGCUGGAUGGAUUCUCCAAUCCUACUGGCUGGGCCUGCUCCCGAAUAGGGGCAGGACUGUCACGUCAGUCGCAAAGCUGGCGUGUUGCGCUAUCUUUGUG
This 187-nucleotide non-coding RNA is filed under the name Terribacillus aidingensis. Its description in RNAcentral is "Lysine sequence". It matches the Rfam family "Lysine riboswitch aptamer". From Rfam's summary of the family: Riboswitches are metabolite binding domains within certain messenger RNAs that serve as precision sensors for their corresponding targets. Allosteric rearrangement of mRNA structure is mediated by ligand binding, and this results in modulation of gene expression. The record is from Rfam by way of RNAcentral. Lineage: Bacteria; Bacillati; Bacillota; Bacilli; Caryophanales; Bacillaceae.